This 185-nucleotide unclassified non-coding RNA is filed under the name soil metagenome. RNAcentral describes it as "partial internal transcribed spacer 1". The record is from RNAcentral.
AAAGAUAUAGCAUAUUCUUCUGAAUAUACUUUAUUAACCCAUUCCGAGUAUCCUUACCCGUUGCUUCCGCGAGGCUGUCCUCACGGCCCUCUGAAGAUUUAUCUUUGGGGAGUCCUUGCGGAAGGUAUACAAUAAACUCUUGCAUUACCAUGUCAUCUGUCUGAAUCCGUUUAAAACAAAUAUUA